GCCUGACAGGUCCUCGAGGCUCUCGGGUUGCCACGCAACUGUGGGCAAAGGAAAAAAGUUAACAUAUAAUAUAUCAUUACCAACAUUUUAAUCAAAAGAUAACAAUAAUACACUCCCUCUAAACGUCAGACAAGCUCCAAGUAAGUUUUCUUUCAAGCGGAUGUUACGUAAGCAUUUGUUAAAACAAGAGUUCAAAUAAUAUUCAUCAAUGUUAUAUUUAUAGUAUGUAUCUAUGUUUGUAUUAAUUUGCUUUUCUUUUUAAUUCGUUGAAUUUUUUUCUCUCUCUCUGCACCAAUUGUAAGUGUCUAUGUUUGGCCCUAUGGUUGACUGGUAGAGAAUGCCAUUUGGCAUUAAGUCCGCCAUUUGUAUAUUGUUGUAUAUAUUUUGUGCAAUAAAGUUUAAUUAAAAUAUAAUAAAUAAUAAUAAAUACAUUAUAAUGGACUAUAAAACUAAAUUAAAUUAAAACUUAACAUAAAGAAAGACAGAAACAUAAAAACCUAGUCAACAUAAAAACCGUUUUGACGACCGGUUUGGUCUAGUGGGUAGUGACCCUGCCUACGAAGCUGAUGGUCCCGGGUUCAAAUCCUGGUAAGGGCAUUUAUUCGUGUGAUGAGCAUGGAUAUUUGUUCCUGAGUCAUGGGUGUUUUCUAUGUAUUUAAGUAUUUAUAAAUAUUUAUAUAUUAUAUAUAUCGUUGUCUAACAUAGAUAUAAGAAGUAAGGAGAUUUAUAACGAAGCAUAAUUUCAACGAGUCUCGCUGUCUCCAACUGUCCCCCACCACAUCAUUAAAGGCGUGGCCAGACAUCAGACAACCAACUCACGCGCUGUGAUUGGCCAAACCGCGCGGUGUAGGAGCCUAGAGCGGCGGCACUAGAGUGAGGACAAUUCGAUAGAGCUAUCGAUAUUUUACAUGUUCUGAAAAUGACCUUAGAGUUUUGACAUAUUUGUUUUAAGUAAUAAUUGCCAUAGACUUAAUUUAUAUUCCUUUAAAUUUUUGACCUUAUUUACGAGCUAAGAAUUUUAAGGUACGUGUAAGGUAUAUUAGUUGAGCCAUAAGUUCUCUCACAAAGGUUUUUACUGAUAAAAUGUAAUACAAAGCUUUUAAUUUAAAAAAAAAACAUGUACCAUGAUGCGAAAGCUUGUUUAUGCUUAACUAAUCAAAUUGGUUUAAAUUUCAGUAAUUAUUUGAUGUAAUGUUUGUUUAAAUUGUUUACUUUGGGAUUGUCGUUAGACGCGAGCGCUUCAUUAAAAAAAAAGUUUCAGUUUAUUAUAGCAUAUUUCGUCACCAAUUGAAAGCAAUUCCAGCAUGUUAUAUAGUAAGUAUAAUGCACCAUUAAAUAAGCUUUUAUAUCAUAUGUACGAAUAAUAAGGAAACAGUAAUCAUAAUUAUCAGUAAAAAUCUUUCUGAUAGAACUUUUGGAUCGACUAAGUAUACAAUAUACUAUUAUUUUAAACAUAUUUAUAUUCUAUCUGUAACUGUAACUGGAAACAUUUUUCUUGAAAAUGAUCCGAACAAAUAACACUUUUCUCGCUCAUAAACUAGUUAGGGCCCUCUUCCUGUAGCAUCUAUCCAUUUUUCGUUAAUACUGGGAUUUUUAGGGAAACUGAAAAAAAUUGCAAUCAUGAACAUAUUUCUUUUUUGACUCACUGUAAACUGUACCUCUGUAAAUUCCAUUCACCACCGUUUCUUUUUCAAUUGUUUACUCUAAAUAAUUGUAUAUUAUUAUUUUCAAUUGUAGUAUUGUUUUUUUUUUUACUUGUAAACCUUAUUAUCCACCACAGGACAGGCUAUGCCUAGUGUGGGGGCCAGCAUAAAUGUAAUACUGUUAUUAUUUUAUUUCUGAAAUAAAACAUUUGUACAAUUGUACUUAAUUAAA
Molecule: long non-coding RNA, 1875 nt
Organism: Cydia pomonella (codling moth)
Lineage: Eukaryota; Metazoa; Arthropoda; Insecta; Lepidoptera; Tortricidae
Exons: 2
Source: RefSeq, a predicted model, not a curated record